CACAAGAUUUUUCCUGACAAACAAAACUGCAAGUUUUCUUCUUUAGCUAGGCCUGUCGCAAUUAUUUGAUUUAAUCGUGUUUAUUUUUGAUGACCACGAUUAUCAAACAUUUUCUGUCUUGUGUCUUUAAAAUCUCCCUGCACGUGCCGCAUUGCAUGCUGUGUGCGCUGAGCAGGUAUGUGCAUAAAGUUCAAAUGACGCUGCUCUGCUAAUUUCUCCAUCAACUAAGUCAUAUCACUGUGCGAAUUCUACCAAGUUGGGUCUAAUUUCAAAGCCAAACACAACGGCACCAAUCUGGGCACAUUUGGAAAUGCUCCAGAACUUUGACAACAGUAUGAAUUGCCAGAAAAAACAUAAACAGAUUUUUAUUCAGCCACUACAGACAUGUGGUCAAGCGCAAAUAUGACCCCAUCCAUGAGCUUAACAAUAGAUGAUCUCACAACUGACUGGACUCUUGAGUCAAACUGUUUGGAAACAAGAUACACCCCAGAGAACCAUACAGCUGAUACACUUGUAGAAUCUCUGAAGUACAUAUUAACAGAUUGAGCUUUGGAUGAGAAAAAAAUGUCCUGCAUAACCACAGAUAAUGGUCCCAAUAUCGUGGCUGCAAUAGGCAAACUUGGUAUCCCAUGGCUGAAUUGCUUUGGCCAUAAUCUCCAUUUGGCUGUCACAAAUGCCAUAGCAAGUGAGAAGGAAUGCACAGCCCAUGCCCUUGGACUGUGUAAAAGUCUGGUCAACACUUUCAAAAUGAGCUGGCUAAAUUAUAGAGACCUGAAAAAGGCACAGACUGAGGCCAACAUCCCCCAAUAUAGUUUGGUUCUGGAUGUCACUACACGAUGGGGUACCAAGCAAAAAAUUAUUGACUGAGUUCUGUAACAUCUACCUGCAAUCAGAUGUGUCCUGAUUGAUGACAGCAAACAUGGGCACCUAAACCCAACCUGGCAGGAUAUAUUGGUCCUUGAGUCCUUUAAUGCAGCACUGAAACCCGUGGCUGAUUUCACAGAUGUUCGAAAAGUAUGUGACGGUGUCUUCUGUGAAGCCUGCAAUGGGACUUUUAAAAGGAGAGCUCUUAUCCCCUGACCCCAAGGACACAACUCUUACAGCAAAUAUCAAGAUAAAAAAAUGUGUGCUGUUCUUGAUGAAAAGUAUAGCUCAGCUGCACUUCAAGAGCUCCUGAGAAAGACCACUCUUCUUGACCCAAGAUACAGGGGCCACUUUGCAGAAGCUGCAGUAGUGGAUUACACUAAAGACCAGCUUUUAAAGGAGAUAAUGAAGAUGACAGAGGAAACACAUGGAAGUGAAGAAGCAGUCCUGCCGGCAGGCCCAGUCACCAUAUGGAGAGAAAAUGAUAUUGGCUCUCUGGCAAAAAGCUAAUCAUAACAGGAACACAAACGAAGAUUUUUAAAAGAAUAUCUCAGCUCUGAAGGUCCAUACAAUGCAAGUGAAUGGUGAUCAGAACUCUGAAGGUCCAAAAAGCACAUAAAGGCAGUGUAAAAGUAAUCCAUAUGUGAUGAGGAGGAGGGAGUGGCUGGGCCAUGAGGACGCAUACCCGGUGCUGAAUUGUCCUAAUCAGCCGGGAGGGGGAUAAAGACAAGCCGGGGGCGCCAGUUCGAGAGAGAGAGAGAGAGAGAGAGAGAGAGAGAGAGAGAGAGAGA
Myxocyprinus asiaticus (Chinese sucker) is the source of this 1655-nucleotide long non-coding RNA. RefSeq lists it as uncharacterized. Lineage: Eukaryota; Metazoa; Chordata; Actinopteri; Cypriniformes; Catostomidae. The record is from RefSeq and is a predicted model, not a curated record. The transcript has 4 exons.